UGGGGAAUAUUGCGCAAUGGGCGAAAGCCUGACGCAGCGACGCCGCGUGGGUGAUGAAGGCCUUCGGGUCGUAAAGCCCUGUCGGGAGGGACGAAACCUCGGUGACCUAAUACGUCACCGACCUGACGGUACCUCUUAAGGAAGCACCGGCUAACUCCGUGCCAGCAGCCGCGGUAAUACGGAGGGUGCAAGCGUUAUCCGGAUUCACUGGGUUUAAAGGGUGCGUAGGUGGGCAGAUAAGUCAGUGGUGAAAUCUUCCGGCUUAACCGGGAAACUGCCGUUGAUACUAUUUGUCUUGAAUAUUGCGGAGGUAAGCGGAAUAUGUCAUGUAGCGGUGAAAUGCUUAGAUAUGACAUAGAACACCAAUUACGAAGGCAGCUUACUACACAAUCAUUGACACUGAGGCACGAAAGCGUGGGUA
This 421-nucleotide ribosomal RNA is filed under the name uncultured bacterium. RNAcentral's name for it is "bacterial SSU rRNA". It matches the Rfam family "Bacterial small subunit ribosomal RNA", at positions 355 to 767 of the family's 1533-position model. The record is from RNAcentral.